UGAUCUUAGCCAAAAGGCC
RNAcentral lists this non-coding RNA (19 nucleotides) under Arabidopsis thaliana (thale cress). Lineage: Eukaryota; Viridiplantae; Streptophyta; Magnoliopsida; Brassicales; Brassicaceae. The record is from RNAcentral. RNAcentral also lists the same sequence under 1 other name.